This 424-nucleotide ribosomal RNA is filed under the name Verrucomicrobiota bacterium. Its description in RNAcentral is "Verrucomicrobia bacterium partial 16S ribosomal RNA". It matches the Rfam family "Bacterial small subunit ribosomal RNA", at positions 355 to 776 of the family's 1533-position model. Lineage: Bacteria; Pseudomonadati; Verrucomicrobiota. The record is from RNAcentral.
UGAGGAAUAUUGGUCAAUGGGCGAGAGCCUUAACCAGCCAAGUUGCGUGCAGGAUGACGGCCCUAUGGGUUUUAAACUGCUUUUAUGUGGGGAUAAAGUGCGUGACGUGUCAUGCAUUGCAGGUACCACAUGAAUAAGGACCGGCUAAUUCCGUGCCAGCAGCCGCGGUAAUACGGAAGGUCCGGGCGUUAUCCGGAUUUAUUGGGUGUAAAGGGAGCGUAGGCUGUCUAUUAAGCGUGUUGUGAAAUUUACCGGCUCAACCGGUGGCUUGCAGCGCGAACUGGUCGACUUGAGUAUGCAGGAAGUAGGCGGAAUUCAUGGUGUAGCGGUAAAAUGCUUAGAUAUCAUGACGAACUCCGAUUGCGCAGGCAGCUUACUGUAGCAUAACUGACGCUGAUGAUCGAAAGUGAGGGUAUCAAACAGG